Molecule: small RNA, 127 nt
Filed under: Marmota monax (woodchuck)
Lineage: Eukaryota; Metazoa; Chordata; Mammalia; Rodentia; Sciuridae
Source: RNAcentral
GCUGGGCACAGUGGUGCAUGCCUGUAAUCCCAGUGGCUCAGGAGGCUGAGACUGGAGGAUCAUGAGUUCAAAGCCAGCCUCAGCAACUUAGAGAGGCUCUAAGCAACUCAGGGAGACCCUGUCUCUA